Molecule: long non-coding RNA, 1870 nt
Organism: Anolis carolinensis (green anole)
Lineage: Eukaryota; Metazoa; Chordata; Lepidosauria; Squamata; Anolidae
Exons: 2
Source: RefSeq, a predicted model, not a curated record
CACAGGGAUACUGUCCAAUGUCUCUGUGAGAACUGCUAGCAAGUUUGCUUCAUUCUCUUCAUCUAUCUUCUGUGGAAACAAAGGGAAGAAAGGGAGAAAGGUCUAACUUGCAAAGAAGAAUUUUCAUGGCACAGCUGUCCAUAUGGAAAGUGUGCGGAAUGUAUCACUAGGACUGGCCUCUAGCUCCAGCAAACAUCCAGUCAGAGGUGGACAACGUGUGGCACUCAACUCAAACCAACCCUAACCAGCACAACCAAAAUGUUAUGAGAAGAGCCUUGAGACGCACCAGAUACAGAACUGCAAAUGACCACCUCUGAUCUAAGGAAAGUAUCGAUGCAGGCAUGCCAUUCGCACAGGAACAGUGCUCUUUAGCAAGCAAAGGCCAUCUUAAGAGUCACUGUAGUUAGAAGUACCUUCUUUGCUGCCGUUACUCUGGAUAUUGUUGAAUGUUUAUUCCUGAAUUAAUAUGCAUAGUCAGUUACUAAAUAACUGACUGCAUUUUUUUUAUUAUAAGCUAUCUUGAGCAGUUUUGUGAAAACUGAGUGUUUGGCUUGGAUCCCAUCUUAAAUCUGAGCUGAAUGCUACAAAUAUUUGUGUGCAUGAGCAUGAAUUUAUAUGUGUGCCUUAAAGUCACCUGUGAACUUGUGGCGACCCCAUGGAUUUCAUAGGUUUUUCUUAGGUAAGGAAUACUUCACGGUGAUUUUACCAGUUCCUUCUUCCAAAAUAUAGCCUAUAACACAUGGUAUUCAUUGGUGGUCUUCCCUCUAAGUAACUAGAACUGACCCUGUGCAGAUCACAUGGGAUAUAAUGCCUUUCUACCUUCCUGCCCCAUGUCUCAUAUAACAUUAAAAAGGAAUGGGUCUCUAGCAACUUUCCAGACAAUGUUGGAUUGCAAGUCAUACAACCCUUUCAACAUAAACUAUGGGAUGGGAUAAUGGGAGUUUCAGUCUUGCAACUUCUAUACAGUCACAAGUUGCUCAUCUUUGACAUAUAUCUUUCUACAGGAAAACGAAAGAAAUAUUGGCCUUUUGGAAUUUUGGCAGUAAAUGGCAACCAAGACAUGGCAAUCAAUAAGCUCAUCAACUUCUGCUCAUUCCCACAAGUGGAGGAAUGCACAAUCAUAGAAGAAUUUCAAGUAGUCAUGUAGGGUUUCUGCAAAAAAAAAAAAUGGAUCUGAAAAAUGUAUAAUGGUAUCUUAUCCAGCAUGUUUAUGUGGAAAUUAUUUCACUGGAAAUUUGUGACAAAAUAAUGAGAAUAGAAUAUAUUUUCUCUAUAUUUAUCCAAAAAAAAAAUGACUACACUUGAAAAUACAGUUCUCUUUUCUUUAUGUCACAUAACUAAAAAGAUCCUUAAUAUAUAUAUCUUAUAUCAACAGUUUUAAGAUUCUUUUGCUGAGGCAUGACUGUAGUACCUUGAACUUCACCCACUCUACAUUAUUUGUCAGUUAAGAGCCCCUGGUGGUACAGUGGGUUAAACCUGUCAUAGUUUGCAAAGGCACUAUGCUGUGUGUGUUAACUGGAAAAUGAAGUGCAUGAAGCUGAUUGGCUGAGCCUGCAAAGAUCUGGGGAUUGAAUUGGUACUGUUUCUGUUCUGCUGCUGCAGAACCAGUUUGGACAAGUUUUUCAAUGCUGACUGAGUACUGCUGAUGAAGAGAAGCAGUGUACUCCGAGAGGCCUUGCUAUUUUGAGGCCUGUUUGCUGCUGAGAAAAGAGGGGGAAGAACCAGGGCUGUAUUCUUCUCUGAAGCAGAUUUGUUGACUGAGAAAAGACUAGUUAUGACUGUAGACUUCUGUAAGUGAUCUGACGGACCAUUGUAAAUACUAUUUUUUAUCUCUUGGAAUUAGUAAAGUUCCUGUAUUUUUGUUCUGCAA